This 354-nucleotide unclassified non-coding RNA is filed under the name soil metagenome. Its description in RNAcentral is "partial contains 5.8S ribosomal RNA, internal transcribed spacer 2, and large subunit ribosomal RNA". The stretch from base 1 to 120 matches the Rfam family "5.8S ribosomal RNA", at positions 35 to 154 of the family's 154-position model. The record is from RNAcentral.
GAUGAAGAACGCAGCGAAAUGCGAUAAGUAGUGUGAAUUGCAGAAUUCAGUGAAUCAUCGAAUCUUUGAACGCACAUUGCGCCUCCUGGUAUUCCGGGAGGCAUGCCUGUUCGAGCGUCAUUAAAAUCACUCAAGCUUAGGUUUACCUAUUGCUUGGUCUUGGAGAUGGAAGCCAAUUUAUUGGAAUCCUCUUCGAAAUUCAAUGGCGAAGACCCUUGCUCUCCCAAGUGUAGUAAUAACUUAAGUCACUGAAGGAAGCGAGAAAUCUUCUGCCGUAACCCCCAUAUUUUCUAUGAUUGACCUCGGAUCAGGUAGGGAUACCCGCUGAACUUAAGCAUAUCAAUAAGCGGAGGA